ACCGUCAGCAGCAUUUCCAACUAGAGUUGGCAAUUCCAACCAGAAGUGUUAUGAAAGGGUGUUGGACAAAUAUACAGCACACUCUAAGAAUGUGCAUAUUGUAAAGCUGAAAGGAAACAGCGUGUCGCCAAGCAUCAUCGAUUAUCCAGAGCAGUGCCGGAAAAUGAAGAGGAGGAGGCAUAGAGGGGAACUUUAUCAAGGAGACCACUUUGGAGUAGGAAGAUGAAAAAGAGGUGGAAAUGGAGGAAGAGGGGGAAUGCAGGGAAAAGACAAACAUGUACAAGAAGCAACUUAAAGAAGCCGUGCUGUGAAACUUCCUUCAGGUGAAAAGAACUUCUCUGCUACUAAAGCAGCAAACUCUUUCCUUUCCUUUGCUAGUUUUGCCAACAUCCUUCACCUUUAAUGUCCCUAUUUCCAUCAGAGUAUCCAACAAUCUGCACUUACUUUGUUGGAAUUUCCCCUUUACUAUGUAGAAACUGCACCUUUGGAAAGCGAAGUCUUCACGAAGUUCGUCAAAGAAAUAACCUUAUACCUGGGAAAUCUGCAGUAAAUCUUUAAAAUAGCUAGAUCAAGUGACUGCUCAUAAAAUUAUCCAUAGCAAGGACAAACUCUACAAAUGCAAACUUUGAGCGGAAACAUUUGCUUGCAGAUAUGUGUACAAGAAUCAUGAAAAGACACACCCAGAAAACAGAGAAUUCCAUUGUGAGGAGUUUAAGGCUUUGUUUUUGUUAAGUUUGAAGAAAGACAGGUGGCCAAAGCAUUAAACAGUAGGACCUUUAUUAUGUUCACUCUACAGGCAUCAAGGUCAGAGAGACUCUUUGUUCCCCCAAAACAUCAUCAUUAAGCCAUAUGAUUGGACCCUUAAAGUGACAGUCCACUAACACAAAUGCACAACAUUUUUGGACUCCCUAUUCCUUGCAGAGACAUCUAUUAAUGUGUUUCAGUAAAUAAACUUUCAAAUGUGA
This is a long non-coding RNA of Rhincodon typus (whale shark), 965 nucleotides long. RefSeq lists it as uncharacterized. The transcript has 3 exons. Lineage: Eukaryota; Metazoa; Chordata; Chondrichthyes; Orectolobiformes; Rhincodontidae. The record is from RefSeq and is a predicted model, not a curated record.